GACGAACGCUGGCGGCGUGCUUAACACAUGCAAGUCGAACGGAAAGGCCCUGCUUUUGUGGGGUGCUCGAGUGGCGAACGGGUGAGUAACACGUGAGUAACCUGCCCUUGACUUUGGGAUAACUUCAGGAAACUGGGGCUAAUACCGGAUAGGAGCUCCUGCUGCAUGGUGGGGGUUGGAAAGUUUCGGCGGUUGGGGAUGGACUCGCGGCUUAUCAGCUUGUUGGUGGGGUAGUGGCUUACCAGGGCUUUGACGGGUAGCCGGCCUGAGAGGGUGACCGGCCACAUUGGGACUGAGAUACGGCCCAGACUCCUACGGGAGGCAGCAGUGGGGAAUAUUGCACAAUGGGCGGAAGCCUGAUGCAGCAACGCCGCGUGCGGGAUGACGGCCUUCGGGUUGUAAACCGCUUUCGCCUGUGACGAAGCGUGAGUGACGGUAAUGGGUAAAGAAGCACCGGCUAACUACGUGCCAGCAGCCGCGGUGAUACGUAGGGUGCGAGCGUUGUCCGGAUUUAUUGGGCGUGAAGGGCUCGUAGGUGGUUGAUCGCGUCGGAAGUGUAAUCUUGGGGCUUAACCCUGAGCGUGCUUUCGAUACGGGUUGACUUGAGGAAGGUAGGGGAGAAUGGAAUUCCUGGUGGAGCGGUGGAAUGCGCAGAUAUCAGGAGGAACACCAGUGGCGAAGGCGGUUCUCUGGGCCUUUCCUGACGCUGAGGAGCGAAAGCGUGGGGAGCGAACAGGCUUAGAUACCCUGGUAGUCCACGCUGUAAACGGUGGGUACUAGGUGUGGGGUCCAUUCCACGGGUUCCGUGCCGUAGCUAACGCUUUAAGUACCCCGCCUGGGGAGUACGGCCGCAAGGCUAAAACUCAAAGGAAUUGACGGGGCCCCGCACAAGCGGCGGAGCAUGCGGAUUAAUUCGAUGCAACGCGUAGAACCUUACCUGGGUUUGACAUGGAUCGGGAGCGCUCAGAGAUGGGUGUGCCUCUUUUGGGGUCGGUUCACAGGUGGUGCAUGGCUGUCGUCAGCUCGUGUCGUGAGAUGUUGGGUUAAGUCCCGCAACGAGCGCAACCCUUGUUCACUGUUGCCAGCACGUUAUGGUGGGGACUCAGUGGAGACCGCCGGGGUCAACUCGGAGGAAGGUGGGGAUGACGUCAAGUCAUCAUGCCCCUUAUGUCCAGGGCUUCACGCAUGCUACAAUGGCUGGUACAGAGAGUGGCGAGCCUGUGAGGGUGAGCGAAUCUCGGAAAGCCGGUCUCAGUUCGGAUUGGGGUCUGCAACUCGACCUCAUGAAGUCGGAGUCGCUAGUAAUCGCAGAUCAGCAACGCUGCGGUGAAUACGUUCCCGGGGCU
Molecule: ribosomal RNA, 1346 nt
Filed under: uncultured bacterium
Lineage: Bacteria
Description: bacterial SSU rRNA
Rfam family: Bacterial small subunit ribosomal RNA
Source: RNAcentral